UUACGCGUGGCGCAAUGGUAGCGCACCUCAUUCCUAAUCGGUAUAGAAGCUGACCAGGAAUCUUGAAUCAUGAGGAGGCUGCGGGUUCGAGUCCCGUCGUGUAAG
Molecule: transfer RNA, 105 nt
Filed under: Schizosaccharomyces cryophilus OY26
Lineage: Eukaryota; Fungi; Ascomycota; Schizosaccharomycetes; Schizosaccharomycetales; Schizosaccharomycetaceae
Description: tRNA SPOG_16405
Rfam family: tRNA
About the family: Transfer RNA (tRNA) molecules are approximately 80 nucleotides in length. Their secondary structure includes four short double-helical elements and three loops (D, anti-codon, and T loops). Further hydrogen bonds mediate the characteristic L-shaped molecular structure. tRNAs have two regions of fundamental functional importance: the anti-codon, which is responsible for specific mRNA codon recognition, and the 3' end, to which the tRNAs corresponding amino acid is attached (by aminoacyl-tRNA synthetases). tRNAs cope with the degeneracy of the genetic code in two manners: having more than one tRNA (with a specific anti-codon) for a particular amino acid; and 'wobble' base-pairing, i.e. permitting non-standard base-pairing at the 3rd anti-codon position.
Source: Rfam by way of RNAcentral